Molecule: non-coding RNA, 5798 nt
Organism: Rattus norvegicus (Norway rat)
Lineage: Eukaryota; Metazoa; Chordata; Mammalia; Rodentia; Muridae
Source: RefSeq, a predicted model, not a curated record
AAUCAGGGUCUCACGAGCAUGUCUCUGAAGGUGGCAGGUGUGUGGUCUGUAUCUGGAAUAUUCACCCAGAGGUUCCUUUCACUUUCGUGAACUCCAUAAUUUACCAAUGCACACAAACAACGAUGCUCGCCGUGCAGAACCAGGCGAUGUCAGAAAGCCACUGCAAGCUCCAUUGCAAAGCUCCCUUUGAAGAGUUCCUUUGACUGGUGAAUUUAAUCGUUGAGUAGGUUAUUGGGAAGGGGUAGAACUGGGGAAGGUGGAGCCUGUUGGAAGGAGUCACUGGAACAUAUCCGUGGGUCCUAGAUCUUGCCUUGGCCCCUUCCUGUUCCUGCUCCAUUCUGCUUCCUGUCUGUCCCGAUGCCAGGCGCAUCGGCCGCCCGACUCCUCCUACCACAACGGACUAAACCAUCUGACACCAUGAGCCGAGCAAACCCUUCUCACCCUUGUGGUGUCACAUUCAGCGUUUUUGUCAGAAUGAUACAAAAGAAACACACUUCCUGUGCAGUCAGCUUCCUGUUUCCAGCCUGUGGUCAGGUGGCUGUUUUCCUUUGCACUAAUAGAGCUUGUGUUAGUGCAAAGCCAUAGAUACCAGGAGCCAAAGAGCAAAGGGAAAACCAGACGUUCAGGCGGCCCCCAAAAUCACCUCUUGGGAUAUGUAAUCAAUAAUUGACAGCAUCCUAAGAAGUCCAAUACUCCGAAAGGUAUUGUCCCUUCCCAACAGUGCCACCACUGGGACUAAGACUUUAACACAGGGACUAUAGGGUCACACUUCUCCCAACCACAGCGCCCACUUACAAACUGUUUCAUGUAUCGUUGUUUGAUGAGGAGUAGAAACUCGUAGCUGACUGGCUGACCUUGGGCCGUCCUUGACAUUUCUAAGGCGCACUUAUUUCCUCUUUAAUUGAGCUUCGUGGCCUGUGUUUCACUGCCCUUUACAAGCACUCGGUCACAAACAACGUGAGUGGAUGUCUACAAAAGGAAAACAGCCGCCUGCACUGUGGGCACAUCCCAGAAGUGUUUGAAGCCUUGGAGUCAGGAGCACACAAUCCAGGAAUGGCAGCAGAAACCUUUCAAAGGCUCCAUCAGGACUGGGACAUGGCUCAGACAGCAAAGGGCUUGCCCUGUGAGUGCGAAGGCCUGAAUUUGACCCUCAGAAGCCAUGUAAAAAGAAAAUCGUAGUGCUACACCCAGUGAGGGAAGCAGACAUCUGUGGAUGUCUUGGGCUUCCUGGCCAGCGAGCCUAACCUAACUGGUGAGUCCCGGAAAGGCACCUCAAACAAACAAAACGAAGAGGAGGACUGUCAACCAACGAUCUACAGCGCCCUCACUAAUCUCACCUCCAAAAAGUGCUGGCCCUUCCCAAUAAUACCACCACUGGGUGAUACUGUCCUCUGCCCUCCAUACGAACACACAUGUGUUUACAUGUGAGUCUACGUCAAAGAAUGUUAGUUUUGUCCUGGUGAGUAAGGUUUGAAAUGGAGAAAGACUCAAGAUGUUUGCCAAACCUUUGUUAAUCGUUCAAGAUUUUGCCUUGACCAAUAAUGGGGUCCUGACAAUACCCUGUUCCUGCCCCUGCCCCUGCCCUUGCCCCUGCCCCUGCCCCUCCCCCUCCCCUGCCUCUGCCCUUCCCCCUCCCCCUCCCCCUGCUCCACUCUGCAGUGUCUGCAUGGCAUUUUCUCCUGACCUGUAACCUUAACUAAUUCCAAAGUGAAACAGGUAUGUAGGACGGAUCAGUUCCUCGCCUUCUUCCCAUGAAUAAUGGCUCACUGCUACUCUUGGGAAAUUAUUCCUUCUCAUUAAAAAGUGACCUCUACUAAAUAUGCUGGCAUGUGUCUUAAAUCCCAGUACUCCAGAGGCAGAGGAUGGCAAGUCUUGAGUUCGAGGCCAGAAUGUUCUGCAAAGCAAGGUUCCAGGUCAGUCAGGACUACAUAGAGAAACCCUGUCUUGAAAAGAACAAAGCAAACCAAAACAAGCGACCUCCAUUCCAUGGAUAGGGUCCCCUUUCGUGUCUCAUCAUACCACUACACCAGCCCCAUUCGGCUGUAGAAACCAUCUCGCCCUUGCAGCACUGAUUUGGCAAUAAACAAAUCAAAUCACAAGAUGAUGGUGGGUCACAUGACACUCAUUUCCCUCUUAGGGUGAGCGCCAGCCACUUACCCAGUAUCAGGUCCUUAGAUGCUCCUUUACUCUGAGAGUCUCUCACAUUAGCUGUGAGGAAAUCAAGAGUUACAGAGAUGACAACUGCUCCUGAGAGCGAUAAAUCAAAUAUGGAAUCUGAUUAUGAGCUGACCAGUUAAAUGAAAGGACAGCCCAGGCACCGUUAAUAAGAGAAUUAAUUGUAAGUCUCUCCUCAUCUCCAUACAUUUGGCUGCCUAUUAAGAUAAUGAAUCAAUUCUCCAAGAAUGGGUCUGAAAACACACUCAAUCAGACUCGGCCAGAAAAAAAAAAUCAUUAUUUUCCUGACCCCGUGAGAUGCAUAUUUUUACCCAAACAAUUUCAAAACGGGCUUUUCAGGGUUUUGAAAAGAGUCCGUGACCUUUCGAGGAGCCCCAGUUGAAAUCAGAAGUUUGAAGAGAAAAAUCUCAUUAUAAAGAGAAUAAUUUGGGAGAUGUGACACCCAAGUUUUCUUUUGAUUUAAAUAAUGUCUUCAGUAGAGAUUUCUGAGUUGAAGUUGGGGAUGGGUGUCGCCUCUCUUCAAGAAUUUCCCAGGGGACCUCGGACAGGGUGUAAGCAAAAUGCAAACUUUGGGUUUGGGGCUGAGGGUUUUUUUGUAAUUAUCCAAAAGUAUGAAAAGGGAUAAAGCAGGUCCCUUGAGGCCAAACAAGAAGGAUGUGGAGGUAGGGUGUGUAUGUGGGGUAUGUAUGUAUAUGUACACAUCAUAUGUGUGUGUAUCUAUAGGUGUGUGUAUAUAUGUAUAUAUGUGUGCAUAUAAAUAAGCAUAUGUGUGUGUGUUUAUGUAAAUGUGUGUACAGGUGUAUAUAUAUGUGUAUUUGUAUAAAUAUGUACAUAUGUGUGUAAAUAUGUGCAUAUAUGUGUAUGUCUAAAUAUGUAUAUGUGUGCAUGUAUAAAUAUACAUGUAUGUGUAUAUAUGUGCAUUUAAACAUGUACAUGUGUGUAUAUGUGUGUAUGCAUGUAAAUAUGUAUGUGUGUGUAUAUAUGUAUAUGUGUGUGUUAUAUAGGUGUAUAUGUAAAUAUUAUAUAUGUGUGUACAUGUGUGUAUAUAUGUAUGUAGAUGUACGUAAGGUGUGUGUACAUAUGUAUAUGUGUGAAUAUGUACAUAUGUGUUUAUAUGUGUGUACAUAUGUAAAUGUGUGUAUAUGAUAUAUGUGUGUAUAUGUGUAUAUAUGUAUACAUGUGUGUAUAUAUGUAUGUGUAUGUAAAUAUAUGUGUAUGUGUAUAUAUGUGUGUGUAUAUAAACAUAUAUGUAUAUGUAUAGUCAUAAGAAAUGCAGAAGUGGAGGCUUCUGGUGAAAUUCAAAACAUGCUAUUGUCUUUCUUUUUGCCUGGGAGUGGAAAAGCCCACGUUAGGUUAAAAUUCAAGGGCAGAGUCCUAUGUUUGAAGCACUUUUCCUUAUGUAAGAAAGGAAUAUUCUGAGAGAAGAAUACAAAGAACUUCAGCAAGGUUUUGGGUAACUCCCUGGGAAUGUAUUUACAUAGAGGAUAAAUUGAGCAUGUUCAGGGAACACUUGGUGACUUCCAAUACAUUGUCAUACAACUUCCUAGACACCCAGGCCUUUCGCAGUUCUCUCUGUGACCUCCCAAAGAGUGUCCCACGUGUCACCCUGAUGAAAGAUCUCAGGUGCAGGCUCAAAGGGACAAUGAGACAGACUAUUAGAGGUUAAAGUUUAUUAGAAGGAUUACUCAUGCUAUGCACAGACAGACAACACCACAGCCAGGGCUCUAAGGAGAAUUCAGGCCCAAAAGGUAGGGCUUGGGGUCUCUUCUUAUAGGUCUCUGACAGCACAAGCCUGUAGCUGGACUCUUUGAUUUCUGAUGUGGGGGCAGGGGAGAGUUAGGGAACGGGAUGAAUGACCACCAGUACCCAGUAGCAUGCAAACUCUCUUCCCAGGUGAGAGAUCCUGGCACCUGUCCGUCUGUUAGCUAGAGACCCACAAAAGUGGCCUCGGUCGGUGUGUGUCAUUCUGUCAGUAUCAAUGAGAGGGGAAGGGCUGCUGUAGGUUUUGUGGGCUAGUCGCAGUCUGGUCUAGAUUCUAUCCCUAUGCUCAGCUCCAUCUAUCUGCCACACACACUCAGGUACACACACGGAAGGGUCUCCACUGUCUUUUAGCUUCUAGCCUGCCUUAGAGUUAUACCGAAUAAACUUGGGACCAAACUGAACACUGAAUUCACCUUCCCCACAAACUGCUUCAUGACUUUAAUUUGUUAUGGCUGGUGUCAUUUUUUGAGACAGGGUUAUGUAUAGCCCAGGUUAGCCUCAAAUUCAAUAUAUAACAGAAGAUGACCUUGAACUCCCGAUCUUUCUGCCUCUACUCCCAAGUCUCAAGAUUGCACUCAUUCCCCCACCAAGCUCAGCUGCUCUGAGCUCUCCCUUACAACCUCAUUAUUUCUCUUCCAAGUUGCCCCUGGGAAGACCAUCAAGUUGCUUCUCCAUGGGUCACAAAAGCUCCACCCAGCUAGACGUGUGCCUCUUUCUCGGGGGUUACUAUCUGUAUUAACCUCACACUGUUUGCAGAGUUAGGUGAAGGAGUGGUCAAAGGCUGCUGUUGGAAAGCGAUCUUUCUUCUCCCCCAUGUACAACAGCCAGGCGUCCCUAAAUGGCUCACCCAGUACAGUGGUUUUCAUGGCAACCAGAUUGCCCAACAUGGACUCUGAGCUUCACCACAGGCCCCCUCUGUGACCUUGAGCCAGCUGCUCAAAGUCUCCACUGCCCACAAUGCUUCGUCAGUAAAAGGAGUAUAAUUGCUCAGUCUGUCCCACCAGAUCAUUAUAAAUGAUUCUUCCACAGUGUUUAACGUAUCUCCUGGUUCUCGUUGCACAGUGAGAACAUGUCUGCUAGCAUGGGUUGGCAUCAGUUGCAGUAACAAAAACAAAAACAAACAAAAAACAUAUACAUGCUCUGUGUCUUAAAAAUUCAUCCUAAGUAAUGUUCACUCUUACUACACGUAGCCCUGAGCUCUGUCCACUGAUACCCUCAGGAAACUACAGUAAAGGAACUGUCAGAUGUUCAUCAUGUCAGAGUGAGGGAAAGAGAGAGUGGUAGGUCACAAUGGCUCUAGAACAUUCCACCAGAAGUCAUGUGCAUUCCUGGGGUCACAGGAUGGCCUUCCAUGCCUGGUGGUUUACCCAACCACAGAUCACAGAUACUCAACAACAAAAACAUGUGUCUAAUGCAGAACAGAUGCGUCUUUCCUGCCUUAAUGCCCCAGAGUCCUCGAAAGCACUGGGACCCGUGUGUCAAUUCCUGAGUUCAGACUUUUCAGGGUCUGAAAUUUACAUCGCAGAGUCCUUUGUUCACUCCCCUUCCUGCACGGCCAGGAAAACACCACUUGGAAUGUCUUCAGCUCGAGGGAGUUUGUUGAGCUCAAACAGACCGCAAGCUCAAACCGAACACUUGUAGAAUCUCAGAACUGUGAUCCGUGUUAAACUCCGGUGUCUUUUCCUGUGCCUGCCUCGUCACGUAUGAACCGAAACAUCAACGUUUCGUCUGCGGUCCCCGGAGGAAGAGGUGGGGCUAUGUAGUUCUUCUUGGCCCUCUACCUGCGUCUAUUUCCUGCUUGUAUUUGGAAGGUCAUCUCUCCUGUUUACAAAAUUCAAUAAAUAGAAACUCCAGCCUUCAAA